UUGCACGCUGGCGGCAGGCCUCACCCAUGCAAGUCGAGCGGAUGAAGGGAGCUUGCUCCUGGAUUCAGCGGCGGACGGGUGAGUAAUGCCUAGGAAUCUGCCUGGUAGUGGGGGAUAACGUCCGGAAACGGGCGCUAAUACCGCAUACGUCCUGAGGGAGAAAGUGGGGGAUCUUCGGACCUCACGCUAUCAGAUGAGCCUAGGUCGGAUUAGCUAGUUGGUGGGGUAAAGGCCUACCAAGGCGACGAUCCGUAACUGGUCUGAGAGGAUGAUCAGUCACACUGGAACUGAGACACGGUCCAGACUCCUACGGGAGGCAGCAGUGGGGAAUAUUGGACAAUGGGCGAAAGCCUGAUCCAGCCAUGCCGCGUGUGAAGAAGGUCUUCGGAUUGUAAAGCACUUUAAGUUGGGAGGAAGGGCAGUAAGUUAAUACCUUGCUGUUUUGACGUUACCAACAGAAUAAGCACCGGCUAACUUCGUG
This 481-nucleotide ribosomal RNA is filed under the name uncultured bacterium. RNAcentral describes it as "partial 16S ribosomal RNA". It matches the Rfam family "Bacterial small subunit ribosomal RNA", at positions 30 to 507 of the family's 1533-position model. The record is from RNAcentral.